Molecule: ribosomal RNA, 253 nt
Filed under: uncultured bacterium
Lineage: Bacteria
Description: partial 16S ribosomal RNA
Rfam family: Bacterial small subunit ribosomal RNA
Source: RNAcentral
UACGGAAUGUGCAAACGUUAUUCGGAAUCACUGGGCUUAAAGAGUCCGUAGGCGGCAUGUUAGGUGAGGUGUGAAAUCCCCCGGCUCAACCGAGGAAUUGCGCUUCAAACCGGCGUGCUUGAGGAAGAUAGAGGUGGGCGGAACUGAUGGUGGAGCGGUGAAAUGCGUUGAUAUCAUCAGGAACACCGGAGGCGAAGGCGGCUUACUGGGUCUCUACUGACGCUGAGGCACGAAAGCCAGGGUAGCAAACGGG